GGUUAGUGUGAUAGGGCUAGGAUGGGUUAUGGUUAGGGUGGUAGUGUGGUGGUAGGGUUAGUGUGGUAGGGUAGGAUGGGUUAUGGUUAGGGUGGUAACUUGUUGGUUGAGGAUACUCUACCUACACUGGGUUUCUUACAGGAGUCCCAUCUGUGAUUAAAGGAUUAGGAAAGGAUUAGGAAAGGAUUAGGAGAGGAUUAGUGGUGCAGAGAAAGCCUGCUAGGGCUAGCGAGAGAAACUCAAAGGGCGACUAUAAACAAAUGACAGAUUGUUCGGAU
This is a non-coding RNA of Pelobates cultripes (western spadefoot toad), 278 nucleotides long. The record is from the annotation of a GenBank genome assembly. NCBI's taxonomy places the organism in Eukaryota, Metazoa, Chordata, Amphibia, Anura, Pelobatidae.